GUGCUCGCUUCAGCAGCACAUAUACUAAAAUUGGAACGAUACAGAGAUGAUUAGCAUGGCCCCUUUGCAAGGAUGACACGCAAAAAUAACUAGGUGUAUAACCAGUCUUU
This is a small nuclear RNA of Lemur catta (Ring-tailed lemur), 110 nucleotides long. Lineage: Eukaryota; Metazoa; Chordata; Mammalia; Primates; Lemuridae. The record is from RefSeq and is a predicted model, not a curated record.